RNAcentral lists this transfer RNA (71 nucleotides) under marine eukaryotic metagenome. It matches the Rfam family "tRNA". From Rfam's summary of the family: Transfer RNA (tRNA) molecules are approximately 80 nucleotides in length. The record is from RNAcentral.
GCGCUUUAGCUCAGUUGGUUAGAGCAGUGGAAUCAUAAUCCAAAGGUCCGGGGUUCAAGUCCCUGAAGCGC